Salvelinus sp. IW2-2015 is the source of this 192-nucleotide non-coding RNA. The record is from RefSeq and is a predicted model, not a curated record. NCBI's taxonomy places the organism in Eukaryota, Metazoa, Chordata, Actinopteri, Salmoniformes, Salmonidae.
AUUCCCAUUCUGGCACAGUUACAAAUGAGUUCUCUAUCUAUCUCUAUGGGCUACACAACUCGGAAAUUCAUAAUUUUGCUAUUGCGCUGGUCAACGUUACGCUCGAAGCGAAAUUGACAAGCAGCGGAAUAUGUCCAAAGAGUUUCUAUUGGAUAAAUUCAGGCAGACUAGCGAAACAAGAUGACAUCCCCC